Molecule: ribosomal RNA, 367 nt
Filed under: uncultured Pseudomonas sp.
Lineage: Bacteria; Pseudomonadati; Pseudomonadota; Gammaproteobacteria; Pseudomonadales; Pseudomonadaceae
Description: bacterial SSU rRNA
Rfam family: Bacterial small subunit ribosomal RNA
Source: RNAcentral
UUCGGACUGGGAGCGUACACAGGUGCUGCAUGGCUGUCGUCAGCUCGUGUCGUGAGAUGGUUGGGUUAAGUCCCGUAACGAGCGCAACCCUUGUCCUUAGUUACCAGCACGUUAUGGUGGGCACUCUAAGGAGACUGCCGGUGACAAACCGGAGGAAGGUGGGAUGACGUCAAGUCAUCAUGGCCCUUACGGCCUGGGCUACACACGUGCUACAAUGGUCGGUACAAAGGGUUGCCAAGCCGCGAGGUGGAGCUAAUCCCAUAAAACCGAUCGUAGUCCGGAUCGCAGUCUGCAACUCGACUGCGUGAAGUCGGAAUCGCUAGUAAUCGUGAAUCAGAAUGUCACGGUGAAUACGUUCCCGGGCCUU